AGCAGUGUGGUGCAGUGGUUUGAGCGUUGGAUUACGACUCUGGAGACGAGGGCUCAAUUCCCAGCUUGGCUA
Molecule: non-coding RNA, 72 nt
Organism: Phrynosoma platyrhinos (Desert horned lizard)
Lineage: Eukaryota; Metazoa; Chordata; Lepidosauria; Squamata; Phrynosomatidae
Source: the annotation of a GenBank genome assembly